Molecule: ribosomal RNA, 773 nt
Filed under: uncultured Neocallimastigales
Lineage: Eukaryota; Fungi; Neocallimastigomycota; Neocallimastigomycetes; Neocallimastigales
Description: partial large subunit ribosomal RNA
Rfam family: Eukaryotic large subunit ribosomal RNA
Source: RNAcentral
UAUCAGUCAUGCAUAGCAUAUCAAUAAGCGGAGGAAAAGAAACUAACAAGGAUUCCCCUAGUAACGGCGAGUGAAGCGGGAAGAGCUCAAAUUUGAAAUCUUAAAGGGUUUCCCUUUACGAAUUGUAGUUUAAAGAAGUGUUUUCUGUUGAGGUUUUGGUAAAAGUUCUUUGGAAUAGGACAUCAUAGAGGGUGAGAAUCCCGUAUUUGACCUUUACUUUCAACUUUAUGAUACACUUUCAAAGAGUCGGAUUGUUUGGGAAUGCAGUCCAAAAUGGGUGGUAAAUUUCAUCUAAAGCUAAAUAUUGGCGAGAGACCGAUAGCGAACAAGUACCGUGAGGGAAAGAUGAAAAGAACUUUGAAAAGAGAGUUAAACAGUACGUGAAAUUGUCAAAAGGAAAGCGUUUGACACCAGUGUUGUUUUUCUGAAAAUCAAUUAAAGAACUGUUUAUGCUAAGUUGUUUAGACUUUAUCAGCUAACUGUUUAGUUUUGAGCUUUUCUUUAAUGCACUUUUCAGUUAACAAGUCAACAUCAAUUUCUUUUGCUGUAAAAAAGCUUGAGGAAGGUGGCUUGAGAUUCGUCUUAAGUGUUUAUAGCCUCUUGCCUAUGCAGUCGGAGAGAUUGAGGUCUGCAGCGUAGAUCCUUCGGGGCUAAAUGCAUUUGUGCUAAGUUAUAGCAUUUUAUAGACAACUUGUUGACUAUGAUUUGUCUUGUAGCUUACUCGCUUAUGUUAUUUUACCUACGCUUAGGAUGUUGACGCGCGUGUGUGCGUG